GCUGGGCGUGGUGCCGCAUGCCUGUAAUCCCAGCUACUUGGGAGGCUGAGGCAGGAGAAUUGCUUGAACUCAGGAAGCAAAGGUUGCAGUGAGCUGAGGUUGUGCCACCGCACUCCAGCCUGGGUGACAGAGCAAGACUUUGUCUCAA
Macaca fascicularis (crab-eating macaque) is the source of this 148-nucleotide unclassified non-coding RNA. It matches the Rfam family "Metazoan signal recognition particle RNA". From Rfam's summary of the family: The signal recognition particle (SRP) is a universally conserved ribonucleoprotein. It is involved in the co-translational targeting of proteins to membranes. The record is from Ensembl. Lineage: Eukaryota; Metazoa; Chordata; Mammalia; Primates; Cercopithecidae.